This is a long non-coding RNA of Dreissena polymorpha, 2388 nucleotides long. RefSeq lists it as uncharacterized. The transcript is spliced from 3 exons. NCBI's taxonomy places the organism in Eukaryota, Metazoa, Mollusca, Bivalvia, Myida, Dreissenidae. The record is from RefSeq and is a predicted model, not a curated record.
GUUAGAUUGAAACAUGAAACAUGGUGGACAAUGUACUGGUUUAACUUGUUAAAAUAAAGUUAAAGACAUUUAACAAACAGAAGAGUUCAUUAGUUUUUCCAUUAAAAACACUUUCUUAAAAUACUUAUGUAUUUAUAUCAUUUGGAAAGUGACAUGAAAUAUUGCUAAAGAGUGAUGCAUACAGUGUUUGAGCAGUCUGUCUAGGAAUAGAACAACAACUGAAGUUGAUGGAAGAUACUGCAGAGUUUGGCAGGGAAAUAAUCCAACAGCAAAGCGGCUCUUUAAGCGCAUUUACCUAGAGGACUUACAGGGCUACAAAUUCAUGAGCACAUGUGAGCAGUAUACAAUGUACCUCAUACCAAAAAGGACCCGGAGGCAGUGACUGGUGUUCAAUAUUCUCAGAAGAAAAGGAAAAUGGCAGUGGAAGACUUGGACAAACAUUUUUAGCCUCUGUGUUAAGCCUGGCAGUCUGUGGCUGGUGACAUGUUUUAUUUUGGUUACUUCUUGUAAAAAAAAGACCAGUUAUUUAUUUUGUGAAUUGUAUUUUGUGUUUGUUUUUUGUCUUAAUUUAUUUGUUGUUUUUUUUAAUUUAGGAAUUUGAAACUUGGAUAAUUGAAUUAAGUCCGUGUUCAACAGUACUGAGCAUAGUAUUAUAAAUAACAAAUUUACAACAGUUGUUAAUUUGUUAUGUAUUAUUAUUAACUAUGCUCAGUACUUGAAUACUGGCUGUCUGCAUGGGAAUUUGUUUUCUAGAAAGUUGGUUUCAGACUUAAAUAUUUUAAGUUAACCUUCGGAACUUUUCUAGAAUUGUACUGGAACACAUCAACUAGAACUGAACUUCUGUUAUCGUACUGAAAGUGUUCUAGAAUUAAUAAGGAACAGUUGUUGAACGUUAAAAUUUCUGAGAAAAAACUAUAGAACAAUUGUGUGUGAUGUGUGUGUGCAUGUAAUUGUGUGUGUUUAUGAACAUAUGUGAGAAAGGAAGUAUACUUGUCAUAAGAGAAAUGUAAAAUUCUACUUCUAUGUUUUAUAUUGUGCCUUUUAUAAGUUUUUCUGUUCUCACCUGUAUAUGCGUGCAUGUUUAUGGAUGUGUUUUUGAAUGUGUGCAUGCAUGCCUGUGGUUAAGAGAGUUGGUACUUUAUAAAAAUGUAAAACCACUCAUUUUUAGCUCAUCUAUUUUUUGAAAAAAAAUUAUGAGCUAUUGUCAUCACCUUGGCGUCGGCGUCGGCGUUGGCGUUGGCGUUGGCGUUGGCGUUGGCGUCGGCGUCCGGUUAAGUUUUGCGUUUAGGUCCACUUUUCUCAGAAAGUAUCAAUGCUAUUGCAUUCAAACUUGGUACACUUACUUACUAUCAUGAGGGGACUAGGCAGGCAAAGUUAGAUAACUCUGGCGUGCAUUUUGACAGAAUUAUGUGCCCUUUUUAUACUUAAAAAAUUGCAAAUUUUGGUUAAGUUUUGCGUUUAGUUCCACUUUUCUCAGUAAGUAUCAAUGCUAUUGCAUUCAAACUUGGUACACUUACUUACUAUCAUGAGGGGACUGGGCAGGCAAAGUUAGAUAACUCUGGCAUGCAUUUUGACAGAAUUAUGUGCCCUUUUUAUACUUAGAAAAUUGACAAUUUUGGUUAAGUUUUGUGUUUAGGUCCAUUUUAUUCCUUAAGCAUCAAAGCUAUUGCUUUCAUACUUGCAACACUUACUAACUAUCAUAAGGGGACUGUGCAGGCAAAGUAAUGUAACUCUGACUGGCAUUUUGACAGAAUUAUGUGCCCUUUUUAUACUUAGAAAAUUGAAAAUUUGAUUAAGUUUUGUGUUUAGGUCCACUUUAUUCCUACAGUAUCAAAGCUAUUGCUUUCAUACUUGCAAGAUUUAUGAACUAUCAUAAGGGGACGGUGCAGGCAAAGUUAUGUAACUCUGACUGGCAUUUGGACGGAAUUAUGGGCCCUUUAUACUUAGAAAAUUGAAAAUUUGGUUAAGAUUUAUGUUUUGGUCACUUUACCCCUAAAGUAUCAUAGAUAUUGCUUUCAUACUUGGAACACUCACAAACUAUCAUAAGGGUACAGUAAAAGGACAAGUUGCAUAACUCUGGUUGUCAUUGUUACGGAAUUAUGGCCCUUUUUUGACUUAGUAACUUUUAAUAUAUGGUUAAAUUUUGUGUUUCGAUCCACUCGAAGUAUCAAGGCUAUUGCUUUCAAACUUCAAAUACUUACAUGCUAUCAUGAGGUUACUGUACCUGGCAACUUGAAUUUUACUUUGACCUUUGAAUGACCUUGACUCUCAAGGUCAAAUUAUUAAAUUUUGCUAAAAUUGCCAUAACUUCUUUAUUUAUGAUUAGAUUUGAUUGAUACUUUGAUGAAACUACUCUUACCUGACAUACCACAAUAGACUUCACCCAAA